GCCUGCUGGGGUUAAGGUGCUCAAAAUCCUGGGGAAGCCCAAGAGUGAGGAGCUGGGACGUUCCUGCCCAUGUUCCAGGCAGUGGCCACGAACCGAGAGCAAGCCACGUAUGAGAACCACUCUGAGGGUCUUCCCGAGGGAAAGAGAAGCGUGGUGACGUCAUAGGCACAGAGCUCCCACGGUGAGGACCACCCCGGGAGAGAGGAUGACGAGGAAAGAGGUGGGGAAUCUUCUGGCAGGUCCGGGGACAGCAAUGGCUGUUUCAGCUGUGAGGCCUUCCUCAGCCUCUGAGCUCCACAGCUACACUGUCUUCUGAGCAUGAGCUACGGUUGUAUGAGGAUUCCUGAUGAGUGAUCUAUCAUUUGAUAUAAAAAGAGAAGAAUCAGAUCUGAUUCUGCAUGAGUGCACACACCAUCCAUGAAGGAAUGGCUACAACACACAGCCUGGAAGACAAUAGUGAAUGUAAAUACCCCCAGCAAGCAGAGCUCGAAGCUUCCACUUGAGGACAGAACGUCAGAGACACCCGUAUCUCAACUGAAGCUCACAGCAACCUCAGCAGAGAUUCUGAGCCCGUAAGAGCGUACGCAGUUACACAUUCUGUAAACGACAGUCAGUCUCCCCUUUCCCCUCCUGCCUUAACUGUUCAAUGGGCUCAUGAGUUAAACAAUCAUGGAUGCAGGGGUGAGGGUUCAUCAUAGGCCCAGGAACAUGGACGUUCACUCUCCGAGGUGGACUCACUGUCACUGGUGAGUGCCCAAAUUCCCAGCAGCAGUGUCACCUUGCUGUGGCCCCAUUCCUUUAAGUGAGCAGCCAGUCACCUGCGUCAGGUUGAUUACCUUACACUGCUCAGGCGUGGAAAAGGUAAAACAUGUUUGCGCUCAUCAGAACAGACACUCACCCUGGGAAAAGACUUGUCUUCCUCAGACGGAAUGCUUAUAUGAAAACUGUCAGCCGUGGGCUUGUAUACACUGCCUUAACAUCACUGCAGUAUUCAAACCAGCAUUGCUUCUGGUUGAGGAACCCACCUCACAGCAAGCCGUGUGGCAAAGAGUUCCUGCUCACGGAAUUCAUGUCUUACCAUGGUCUCCAUAAUUCUGCAGCAAUUGGCUUGGUUUGAAAGUACAGAUAUGUCUCCAGUAAGGUGAGAGUACCUUGCAUGGCUGGAGCCAUGUGCUCCAGGAACUGUGUGUGUUCGAGCAUCUGAUACACGGCGCUGCUUCUCCCAUAGCCAAGAGUCACGUAGCCAGGAAUCAAGAGGUGGAGAUGGAAGUGGUACCACCCACUAUCAUCCAUAAUGACCUACAAACAAAAUUCUGUUUCCUGUUCCUACAGCUUGAGGCUCUAUGAAUCUCAACUACGAAGGGAGGGACGUAUCUAUCAAAAGAUAUAAAGAUGAUUCCAACUGAACGUGAAAUUAAAUGUGCCACCUAGUCA
Non-coding RNA from Peromyscus maniculatus bairdii (prairie deer mouse), 1434 nucleotides. NCBI's taxonomy places the organism in Eukaryota, Metazoa, Chordata, Mammalia, Rodentia, Cricetidae. The record is from RefSeq and is a predicted model, not a curated record.